RNAcentral lists this unclassified non-coding RNA (332 nucleotides) under soil metagenome. RNAcentral's name for it is "partial contains 5.8S ribosomal RNA, internal transcribed spacer 2, and large subunit ribosomal RNA". The stretch from base 1 to 120 matches the Rfam family "5.8S ribosomal RNA", at positions 35 to 154 of the family's 154-position model. The record is from RNAcentral.
GAUGAAGAACGUAGCGAAAUGCGAUACGUAAUGUGAAUUGCAGAUUUCAGUGAAUCAUCGAAUCUUUGAACGCACAUUGCGCCCGCUAGUAUUCUGGCGGGCAUGCCUGUUCGAGCGUCAUUUCAACCAUCAAGCCCUAGGCUUGCGUUGGAGCCCUGCGGCUGCCGCAGGCUCCCAAAUCCAGUGGCGGGCUCGUCGUCGUACCGAGUGCAGUAAAAAUCCUCGCUCAGGGAACGUGACGGGUUCUUGCCGUGAAACCCCCCACAUAUCAAGGUUGACCUCGGAUCAGGUAGGAAUACCCGCUGAACUUAAGCAUAUCAAUAAGCGGAGGA